UACAGAGACUGCAAGCGUUAUUCGGAUUCACUGGGCGUAAAGGGUGCGCAGGCGGCCAAGUGUGUGAGGCGUGAAAGCCCGGGGCUUAACUCCGGAAUUGCACCUCAAACUACAUGGCUAGAGCAUUGGAGAGGGUAGCAGAAUUCACGGUGUAGCAGUGAAAUGCGUAGAUAUCUGGAGGAACACCGGUGGCGAAGGCGGCAUCCUGGACCAACACUGACACUGAGGAGCGAAAGCCAGGGGAGCAAACGGG
This 253-nucleotide ribosomal RNA is filed under the name uncultured bacterium. RNAcentral's name for it is "partial 16S ribosomal RNA". It matches the Rfam family "Bacterial small subunit ribosomal RNA", at positions 524 to 776 of the family's 1533-position model. The record is from RNAcentral.